UGAAAGGUAUUCUUCAAACCUGUGAUGCAAUGGAGGCGCCGGUCCCUUCGGUCACCUCAAAUGCUUAGGCAGGGGUGACCUACUUCAUUUUUUU
This 94-nucleotide non-coding RNA is filed under the name Ctenophora environmental sample. Lineage: Eukaryota; Metazoa; Ctenophora. The record is from RNAcentral.